AGGUCAUUUAGGGGACAAUUCCUUAUUAAACCCAUGUAUGGCUCCUAUGCCUCAUAAAAAUACUCCCCCACUUUUUGCUCGAAAUUGGACAUGGCUUUCUUAAGUUU
Molecule: small nucleolar RNA, 107 nt
Organism: Lactuca sativa (garden lettuce)
Lineage: Eukaryota; Viridiplantae; Streptophyta; Magnoliopsida; Asterales; Asteraceae
Source: RefSeq, a predicted model, not a curated record